CAAUAGCGUAUAUUUAAGUUGUUGCAGUUAAAAAGCUCGUAGUUGGAUUUCGGUUAAGAGCGACCGGUCCGCCGUUUGGUGUGCACUGGUUGGUUUUAACUUCCUGUAGAGGACGUGCUCUGGGUUUAACGACCUGGACUCGGAGUCUACGUGGUUACUUUGAAAAAAUUAGAGUGUUCAAAGCGGGCUUACGCUUGAAUAUUUCAGCAUGGAAUAACACUAUAGGACUCCUGUCCUAUUUCGUUGGUCUCGGGACGGGAGUAAUGAUUAAGAGGAACAGUUGGGGGCAUUCGUAUUUCAUUGUCAGAGGUGAAAUUCCUGGAUUUAUGAAAGACGAACUUCUGCGAAAGCAUUUGCCAAGGAUGUUUUCAUUAA
This 375-nucleotide ribosomal RNA is filed under the name uncultured eukaryote. RNAcentral describes it as "partial 18S ribosomal RNA". It matches the Rfam family "Eukaryotic small subunit ribosomal RNA", at positions 592 to 976 of the family's 1831-position model. The record is from RNAcentral.